AAGCAAAGCAUAUCAGCAGCUAAACAAAUUGGGUUAUGCGCUUUCUUUUUUGAACUUGCUACACUUUUCUCACUCAAUGCUCCGCUCUCUCCGCUCCCGUCGCCGCCCCCGUUACGGAGCACACUUGUGCGCCGUCAUCUCCGCUCUCCUCCUCCUCAUCUCAUUGUCUCUCCUUCAUACCCGUCUCUCUUCCUCUCACUACUAUGGCCGCUACCAUCACCACGGCUACCACANAGCCACUCCCGAAACGACGCUGAUUCAGCCGCCAUCAUUCAUCAAAAUCCCCUUCUAUCUGAUUCCGACGACAACUCAAACGAUGACGUAGUCGACAAGAUCGACGAGCACGAUACCUUCGAAGACCAAAACGACAGCACUGGUUUCAGAAUUGACGAUGAAGAGUUCUCUGAAGGGGACCUUGAAAAUGGCCAAACCAAAAGCAAAAGGAAGAUUUCCUCUUCUGGGUAUUUUGUAGAUCACAUAACCGGAUCGAUUCGCAGAGCUCUCAAUAAACGCUCAAUCGACGAUUGGGAUUAUGAUUAUAAUUCGUUUAGUGUGGGGUUGAACGUAGAGGAUCAAAGCAAGGACGCGUUUGGAAGUGACGAUAUUCCUAUAGAUGAGCAUGUGAGGAGGAAAGUGAACGAGGUUGAUGGGAUUGAGGAUGCCUUGUUGUUAAAGAUUGGGAAAAGAGUUUCUCCAUUAAGGGAAGGGUGGGGGGACUGGUUUGAUAAGAAGAGCGAUUUCUUGAGGAGGGAUAGAAUGUUCAAGUCGAAUUUGGAGAUGUUAAAUCCUUUGAAUAAUCCCUUUUUGCA
This 809-nucleotide unclassified non-coding RNA is filed under the name Hevea brasiliensis (rubber tree). The record is from RNAcentral. Lineage: Eukaryota; Viridiplantae; Streptophyta; Magnoliopsida; Malpighiales; Euphorbiaceae.